This 253-nucleotide ribosomal RNA is filed under the name uncultured bacterium. RNAcentral's name for it is "partial 16S ribosomal RNA". It matches the Rfam family "Bacterial small subunit ribosomal RNA", at positions 524 to 776 of the family's 1533-position model. The record is from RNAcentral.
GACAGAGGUGCCAAGCGUUAGGCGGAAUUACUGGGCGUAAAGGGCGCGUAGGCGGCCCGCUAAGUCGAACGUGAAAUCCCCGAGCUCAACUCGGGAACUGCGUCCGAUACUGGUGGGCUUGAAUCCGGGAGAGGGAUGCGGAAUUCCAGGUGUAGCGGUGAAAUGCGUAGAUAUCUGGAGGAACACCGGUGGCGAAGGCGGCAUCCUGGACCGGCAUUGACGCUGAGGCGCGAAAGCUAGGGGAGCAAACGGG